GACGAACGCUGGCGGCGUGCCUAACACAUGCAAGUCGAACGAAACCUCCCGGCUUGGUGGCGCCCGGGUGCGCAAAGCGGGGGAAAAUACCCUUAGGAUCGGAAUCACUCCCUGAAAGGGGCCUUAAUAACGGAUAAUAAUAUUGGACAAAAGCUUUAUCGCCGUUGGGUGGGGCCGAGUUGGAUUAGGUUGUUGGUAGGGUAAGAGCCUUACAAGGCGACGAUUCAUAGCUGGUCUGAGAGGAGGAUCAGCGACACUGCGACUGAGACACGGCCUAGACGCGGACGGGAGGGAGCAGAGUGGAAUAUGGGACAAUGGGCGAUGGCGUGAUCCAGCAUGGCCGCGUGAGUGAUGAGGGUCGUAGGGUUGUAAAGCUCUUUUAGACGGGAUGAUAAUGACGGUAGCGGGAGAAGAAGCACCGGCUAACUACGUG
RNAcentral lists this ribosomal RNA (433 nucleotides) under uncultured bacterium. RNAcentral's name for it is "partial 16S ribosomal RNA". It matches the Rfam family "Bacterial small subunit ribosomal RNA", at positions 28 to 507 of the family's 1533-position model. The record is from RNAcentral.